Long non-coding RNA from Gopherus flavomarginatus (Mexican gopher tortoise), 919 nucleotides. RefSeq lists it as uncharacterized. The transcript is spliced from 4 exons. The record is from RefSeq and is a predicted model, not a curated record. Lineage: Eukaryota; Metazoa; Chordata; Testudines; Testudinidae.
CUCGGCUCAGCCCCAGGCGAAGGCAGGGCAAGUACCAGCGCCCGGAGGCGAGGGGGUUUGCUGUGCUGCCCACCUCCCGCGAUGGGUCUCCACAAGGGGCCCCAGACACUGACUACAUACCCCAAGGCUCACAGCCCUAUGGGACUGGAGCAACAACCCUUCUAGCUCUACAGCCAAUGCACCCCUAAGGCAGGGGGCUGGGGCUGAGACAUCACCCGCUGGCUUGAAGUGGCUGGCUCCUACAAAGGCAAUUUUCCCUCUCUUGAUAUGGACACCUCCUCAUCAAUUAUCCAGAGUGGAGUGGACCACAUCCACCCUGAUUGAAUUGGCCCUGUCAACACUGGUUCUCCACUUGUAAGGGAUCGCAUACCCUGGGUCUGGAGAUCUUCAAGGUGUGCACCCCAGCCGAGGUCCGAGGCAUCUGUUACCAACUUGAUGGAGUGAGGUGGGGUGUCAAACAGAACUACCUCUAGGACUGUCCUGCGAUUGGUCCACCACUGCAGUGAGAAGGCCCCGGGAGCAGCACAUGGCUUGCGGCACUGCAAUAUCCUUUUGGACUUGAGACCUAGAGCUGCCUUUGACCAUCCAGUCAUUGAGGUAUGAGUAGAUCUGGAUUCCCUGACGCCUCAGGACCUGGCUGUCGAAGCGAAGGUCCUUCAUCGACCGCUGAGUCUUGGUAGACAAGCUCGAGAGAAGCAGCCAGGAAGCUCGCUGCAUAGAGAUGGUGGAGGCCAUGGUGAAGACGGCAGAAUCUGCCGUGUCUGAAGUUGCUUGGAGGGCCGAUCUGGCCACAGCCAUGCCCUCCUCGAGGAUUGCCCGGAAUUCCUUCCUGGAGCCUUUGAGGAGUGAAGCCUCAAACUUGGCCAUGGCUUGCCACAUGUUGUAAUCGUAGUGGCCAAGUGAUUGGCCACUCUCAACU